RNAcentral lists this ribosomal RNA (301 nucleotides) under uncultured bacterium. RNAcentral's name for it is "partial 16S ribosomal RNA". It matches the Rfam family "Bacterial small subunit ribosomal RNA", at positions 509 to 807 of the family's 1533-position model. The record is from RNAcentral.
CAGUCGCCGCGGGAAUACGUAGGGUGCAAGCGUUGUCCGGAAUUAUUGGGCGUAAAGAGCGUGUAGGCGGCUCGACAAGUCCGCUGUGAAAGUCCAGGGCUCAACCCUGGAAUGCCGGUGGAUACUGUCGAGCUAGAGUCCGGAAGGGGCGAGUGGAACUCCUGGUGUAGCGGUGAAAUGCGCAGAUAUCAGGAAGAACACCAAUGGCGAAGGCAGCUCGCUGGGACGUGACUGACGCUGAGACGCGAAAGCGUGGGGAGCGAACAGGAUUAGAUACCCCUGUAGUCCCUGUCUCUUAUAC